Molecule: ribosomal RNA, 429 nt
Filed under: Chloroflexota bacterium
Lineage: Bacteria; Bacillati; Chloroflexota
Description: Chloroflexi bacterium partial 16S ribosomal RNA
Rfam family: Bacterial small subunit ribosomal RNA
Source: RNAcentral
UGGGGAAUAUUGCACAAUGGGCGCAAGCCUGAUGCAGCCAUGCCGCGUGUAUGAAGAAGGCCUUCGGGUUGUAAAGUACUUUCAGCGGGGAGGAAGGGAGUAAAGUUAAUACCUUUGCUCAUUGACGUUACCCGCAGAAGAAGCACCGGCUAACUCCGUGCCAACAGCCGCGGUAAUACGGAGGGUGCAAGCGUUAAUCGGAAUUACUGGGCGUAAAGCGCACGCAGGCGGUUUGUUAAGUCAGAUGUGAAAUCCCCGGGCUCAACCUGGGAACUGCAUCUGAUACUGGCAAGCUUGAGUCUCGUAGAGGGGGGUAGAAUUCCAGGUGUAGCGGUGAAAUGCGUAGAGAUCUGGAGGAAUACCGGUGGCGAAGGCGGCCCCCUGGACGAAGACUGACGCUCAGGUGCGAAAGCGUGGGGAGCAAACAGG